This 73-nucleotide transfer RNA is filed under the name Stegodyphus mimosarum. It matches the Rfam family "tRNA". From Rfam's summary of the family: Transfer RNA (tRNA) molecules are approximately 80 nucleotides in length. Lineage: Eukaryota; Metazoa; Arthropoda; Arachnida; Araneae; Eresidae. The record is from Rfam by way of RNAcentral.
GCCUUCGUGGUGUAAUGGUCAGCACACUGAGCCGGUAUUUCAGAGGUCCGUGGUUCGAUUCCCAGCAAAGGAA